RNAcentral lists this ribosomal RNA (550 nucleotides) under uncultured bacterium. RNAcentral describes it as "bacterial SSU rRNA". It matches the Rfam family "Bacterial small subunit ribosomal RNA", at positions 355 to 896 of the family's 1533-position model. The record is from RNAcentral.
UAGGGAAUCUUCCACAAUGGGCGCAAGCCUGAUGGAGCAACACCGCGUGAGUGAAGAAGGGUUUCGGCUCGUAAAGCUCUGUUGUUAAGGAAGAACGAGUGUGAGAAUGGAAAGUUCAUACUGUGACGGUACUUAACCAGAAAGGGACGGCUAACUACGUGCCAGCAGCCGCGGUAAUACGUAGGUCCCGAGCGUUGUCCGGAUUUAUUGGGCGUAAAGCGAGCGCAGGCGGUUAGAAAAGUCUGAAGUGAAAGGCAGUGGCUCAACCAUUGUAGGCUUUGGAAACUGUUUAACUUGAGUGCAGAAGGGGAGAGUGGAAUUCCAUGUGUAGCGGUGAAAUGCGUAGAUAUAUGGAGGAACACCGGUGGCGAAAGCGGCUCUCUGGUCUGUAACUGACGCUGAGGCUCGAAAGCGUGGGGAGCGAACAGGAUUAGAUACCCUGGUAGUCCACGCCGUAAACGAUGAGUGCUAGGUGUUAGGUCCUUUCCGGGACUUAGUGCCGCAGCUAACGCAUUAAGCACUCCGCCUGGGGAGUACGACCGCAAGGUUG